This 305-nucleotide ribosomal RNA is filed under the name uncultured bacterium. Its description in RNAcentral is "bacterial SSU rRNA". It matches the Rfam family "Bacterial small subunit ribosomal RNA", at positions 333 to 655 of the family's 1533-position model. The record is from RNAcentral.
AGUUCCCUACGGGAGGCAGCAGUGGGGAAUAUUGCACAAUGGGGGAAACCCUGAUGCAGCAACGCCGCGUGAGUGAAGAAGUCAUUCGUGAUGUAAAGCUCUAUCAGCAGGGAAGAAAAUGACGGUACCUGAGUAAGAAGCCCCGGCUAACUACGUGCCAGCAGCCGCGGUAAUACGUAGGGGGCAAGCGUUAUCCGGAUUUACUGGGUGUAAAGGGAGCGUAGGCGGUUCAGCAAGUCAGAAGUGAAAGCCCGGGGCUCAACUCCGGGACUGCUUUUGAAACUGUUGAACUAGAUUGCAGGAGG